GAACUUUCCAGAGAUGGAUUGGUGCCUUCGGGAACUGUGAGACAGGUGCUGCAUGGCUGUCGUCAGCUCGUGUUGUGAAAUGUUGGGUUAAGUCCCGCAACGAGCGCAACCCUUAUCCUUUGUUGCCAGCGGUCCGGCCGGGAACUCAAAGGAGACUGCCAGUGAUAAACUGGAGGAAGGUGGGGAUGACGUCAAGUCAUCAUGGCCCUUACGACCAGGGCUACACACGUGCUACAAUGGCGCAUACAAAGAGAAGCGACCUCGCGAGAGCAAGCGGACCUCAUAAAGUGCGUCGUAGUCCGGAUUGGAGUCUGCAACUCGACUCCAUGAAGUCGGAAUCGCUAGUAAUCGUGGAUCAGAAUGCCACGGUGAAUAC
This 376-nucleotide ribosomal RNA is filed under the name Escherichia coli. RNAcentral describes it as "bacterial SSU rRNA". It matches the Rfam family "Bacterial small subunit ribosomal RNA", at positions 993 to 1369 of the family's 1533-position model. Lineage: Bacteria; Pseudomonadati; Pseudomonadota; Gammaproteobacteria; Enterobacterales; Enterobacteriaceae. The record is from RNAcentral.